UACCUGCUGUUGUUCUCUUCAAUAAAUAACUAGCUUGGAGUCUAAAGAGUGAUGGAAAUUUAAAAGAAUCUACCUUGUAUUUGGCUAAGAAGUCUCCAGAGGUGCAGUUAGUAGCUGUAUUAGUAAAAUGGAGCAAACUUGACUGUUAACUUGAAACGCUCUGAAAUCCCAGGAAGGAAGAAGAUAGCAAGGUGCAUUGACGACCAGAAUGUAAAAUUGAGGUACAGGUUGCUACACAGAGGAGCAAAGAGGUAGUACCAAUACUGUUACAUGUCCUUGUUCCAGAAAAUACCUGUUUUCAUAGAUGUUUCAUUGCAGUUGCUCAAAUGAGAUACUGGUAAAUCUGAUCAUCAGGGUACAGAUCUGGUAGGAAUAUCAUUUAGCUAAUAACUAAGCAUAACCAGAAUGCAAUCAAGGUGUUUCUCUUUAGCUUUCCAGGAUAUGGGAUGCACAGGACAUCUGAAGCUGCUGAAGAAAGCACUGUUGUGCAAUAUGCACAUAACCUGAUAGACAUCUAGUCACAUUAUACCUCGAUUUUUAAAGAAAAAUAUUAUAGAUGUGUAUAUGGACAACAAAACCACUCAAAGUUACUAAAAUUUGGAGACCUGUCCCCAUUGUGCCUGAAUGCCAGAGGAUAAAGAUGAUGGUAUCCUUUGUGACUGAGGACCUCCAGGCUUGGAUGGUGUGGGGAUUGCUUGCCUGUAUUAAUCAUCAGUGCUGUACUCCUCUGUCUCCAGCCUCAUGUGGCUGCUCUCAGGUGGCUUAUGCUUCCCCUGGGAAAUACACUCAAGCCUAUUUUUCUUUCAGGAUCCAGCUCUGUUUCCCAGACAUGUAGGGAAUUGGCCCAGUGUUUCACAGGGCGACACAUCAGCCUGCACAUUAGGUGAACAAACGGGUUGGCUCAGCUCCCUCUGCUUCUGCUUUAGUCAGGGGAGACACCCAGGCUAAAGGAUCCCAGGAAGGUGUUCCCACGAGCCAGGGGGAGUCUGGCCCCUCAGCCAGCACAGAGGGCUUCACCUCACCCAAAUUUACCUGGCCAGAAGUAAAGUCUCUCAGCUGAACUGGUGUCUGUACUGCCUCUGUAGCCAGAGGCAAUGGAGGGAGGCAGCUCUAGUUGAUUCAUCCCUUUGUAUUCCAGGUACAUGGGUAGGUGGGAUGAAUCAUUGUCUGGCACCACCUCCAUUGACUGCAGAAAGAAUUAGGCAACCAAUUUAGGUGAGACGCUUAAUUUCUAAAUGAGUAAAGCGAGGUUAAAUAAUCCCUCCUUGAGUUGCACUCUAAUGGGGAAGGCUAAUGACUGUAUAUUAUUUGAAGAGAGAGGCUGUUCCUCGCCUCAGUAAAACAAAAUCACUUUGUUACUUGUUUUCAAGCUGUGCUAUUUGUUCUAAUGGGUGGAUCACUGCUCUCUAAUAUAGCAGGUAAAAUGAGAGGACACAUCUAAAUCAUUGAUACAAUAUUGCCAAGUGCUUGUAUCUUCUGCUGACAUCUGGCAGCAUGUUGUUUCCUGAAGCCUUAGGCAUUGAAAGCAAGUGAGAAUACCACCUUCUUUCUCUUUAAUAUAAAUCAGAAUUUUAUGCUUCUAGUCAUGCAGAAAACAAGAAUGAAAAAGCAUUAUCUGAUUAUGCUAUACAAAGAAAAAAGUUUUAAACAAGUAAAAAGUAACAAGGAUAUACUAAAAAUAACAACUCUCCCCCAUUUUAACCUGUUUUUCAAGUCCAACCCAAGAUUGUCUUCUUUCUACUUUCAAUAUAUAAUUCUCUAUAAUAAAACAGAACGAACCCUAAACUUUGUUGCAAACUUAGAAUUAAAAACCCCAACAGUCUCCAGCUGGAGUAUCCACUACAGAACAGCCAGUGAAAAACACCAAAGACAUUAGCUUUGUCACCUGUUCCUUCACCAGCUGGACCCUCCAAGAGAUUCCUUCUAUUUUCUUUCACACACAGGGGCCACAUGCAAAGCUCAGAGACCAUCUCUGUCUGUUGCUUGUUAAUUGGGCUGUUUUGUGAAAGUAGAAGAGAGUUCAAAAAGGCUGAGCUGCAGCAGAUGCAACCGGGGUUUCACGGGUCCCCAGUCACGUGGAAGACUCACACAGUAGUGGGUCAGACAAAAUGCUUCUACUUCGACUUGUUAUCUCAUUAGCUGUCCAUUCCUUCAGGCCACAGGGCUCCUACAGUUAGCUACAGGUCAAAGCCUUUGUCCCACCCAGAACAAGAAAAUCUGCUGUAUUUCAGCAUGUAGCAGGGCUCUUUCCAAAUCUUGAGGAAGACAAUAGAAACAAGCCUUUAAUAAAGAGAAUUAAUGAAAGAAUAUACUCUAGAUAUUGAAGGGUGAUUCAAGAAUGAACAACCAGCCCCACCAUGAGCAGCUUCUUCACUUGGGGAUUUAGCAGAGGAAAAACAGAAGUGCAGUUCUCAAUUUGGAAGCAAUGCUGCAUAAGCAUGGGGAUGAUGGAGUAGGAGUCAAAGAGCUUUCUGUUACUAUUUUUCUAAGUAGGGUUGCUGGUACAUGUAUCUUAAAAUGAAAUUAGGAAAGGAUUGAAUGCAAAAGGAGUGUUUAUAUCACAAGCAGUUGGAGAUUCAGGACUCAAACCCUGGCAGCUGACUUCUGUCUUACCUGGGCAAAUCACUGCUCUCUCAACCUUCAUUAAGUAGCCACAUUUGAAAUAGACCUAUUCCACUUCAUCUUCCAUGGAUUGUGAAUAUUUUAAAUCAUUUUUGAAACACUCUUUGAAAUUCUGCAAGGCAAGGAAUUAUAAGCAGCGCAAAGUAUGACUAAUGUUUGUGUGAGUCAUCGAUGGUGCUACCAAAGAUAGUUUUGGAGAAAUGAAUAUGCACAAAAUAAGUCUGAUCCUGCAAAUUUCAAAGAUCUCCUGCCAUGUGUAGGGUGGAUGUGAGUACAUCAAACAAAGUGCUGGGAUUUUCCCAAGCGCCCCAUGAUAGCCUGCUCCAGCCUGCUGCCCUGAGAGGGAAAACAUGGACUGCCAAGACAAAGCUGAGUGCUUUGGAUGUCCUGCCAUGACCUGUGGAAAAACAAGGAAGCCUGGAAGAGGAAAAGUGCAUCUCCUCCAUAAGCAGAUGAAAUUUUGGGAAUACUGACCUAAAAUGCCCUGCCUGGCCCCACUGCCCACAGAAGCACUGAUGGAGAGCUGACCCUGGCGAGCCAGCCAUCUGGUACACACAGCGUGCUGCAGUGGGAAGAAAGGGGUGCUGUGUUCCAGCAGUACCGUGGCCAAACAACCAGCAGCAGCAAGGGAAAUGGCCUUAUUCUUUUGGCAAAAGCCUCUCCAUAUAUACAUGUGUCUGUUCUCUCACCCACCCCCUGUCUGAAUGAGAAAUCAGGGCCUUCUUGACAUGAGGCAGCACAUGCCAGAUGCCGAGCAGUCAACAAGACAGAUGCUGCCAGGAGGACAAAAGAGUGUUUUUUCCCCAUGGGAAAUUAUAACAGAAGCAAACUUGGGACUACUUCUUUGCUCAUACAUAUUUCAAUUUUGUGUACAAUAUGAACGGUGUGUAUUCUGAGGAAGAGUGUUCUCUGGACAAGACAGGAGAGCCUUGAGAGAGAUGCCAGACUUUUAUCUGGUGAUGGAUGUUGUCAAACCUGUGGAAAGCUUUGCAAUGUGACCCUAGAUGAUUACUCAAGAGCAUGUUCCAGAUGUGUCGCAUCUCCGUGACUGAUGGCUGCCAGAUGGCUGCUUGGGAGAGGGCAGAAAAAGGAUUUCUGAGACCUUCACCUUGUGGAAAAUUACAGCAGCUUCCUUAGGACGAGACCUGAUUUUGUCCAGUUAUUUAGAGAGCAACACACAGUUUAACAUGUGGACUUGAGAGAAAAAAAAUGAAAUAGAAAAGAAGAUUGAUAAUCAUAAUUAAAGGUCUAUGAGACACUCACAUUUGAUGCUUUGUUACUGAGGAUUUUUGCUGUGGCGAAACAUUCAUCUUUUACACCAGCAUUUCACAGAAACCAACGUGGAGCCUUGAGGGUAUGUCUGGAACACAGGCUAUGUUGCUUGGUUUCAUAUCUCUGGGAAGUCACAAAGCAGUGAAAGCCUGAAGUGGAAAUGCCCUUUCCCAUGCCUGGGAGUUAUGACCCUGUUUGCUGCCUAAGCCACUGACCUUCAACUCCACACCAGCUCUGCUGGAGCUUCUGCCUCAAGGACUUGACUGCAGAUGGUCCAUAGGAGCCAUCCUGCUUCUUUCUCCUCUUGACUCCAUCCCUUCAGGGAGGAAACGCAGACCUCGAGCUGCAAGAAGAGUCAAGGACAUGGUUCAUCCUUACCUUAAUUGGAAAAUGCUGGAGUGACACAGCCAGCCAUCUGGCUUCUCCAUCAGGUUGUUAGCACUGUUUCACAGAGGAGUCUUUAAAGUCAGGAAGUGACCCUGGAUCACUGGUGAGGAAAGGAAGGGGCUACUGGCCAAGCAUUUAUGAUUUCAGCUUCUUGUGACCCCAAGAAUACCACAGAUCUUUGCUGAGGGUUACAAAUUAGCCCAUCAGAGAGAAAAUUUUUAUUCAGAGACCAAAGUUACUUUAAAGAUCUGGAUUUUGGAAAGGAAUGAAGCAAAAGUGAAAGAUUCAUUCCUGUUCAGCAUUUCUGUCCAUCCACAAGAAGCCCAGGAGUCAGUAAAUCUGUCAGAGUUGUUUUAAUAACUCUCAGCUAAAGCCUCAUUCACUAAAUCUGUCAAUACAGAAAAGCUUUAUUGCUGUGGAAAAGUAGAUCCACUCAGUGCAAGCAUGUAUUUUGCUAAAUGUGGGAGGAUUAUGGACAUGGAUAAUCUGCUACUUUUGCUGCCAGUUUAUAUUGUUUGUUAACUGUCCUGUAUUCCAGAAGUCUCUCUUCCCAUUUGCCAGAAUUUUGUAGUAUAUGUGUAAUUACAGGGAGACAUCUAUACACAGAGAGUUGCACGUAAAUGCGUACCUACAUGUACAGUUUUCCACAUUGCUAAAUGUGCUGCCCAGGCAUCUCCAUGGGAAAAAAAAAAUAAUAAAAAAAAAAUAUAUAUAUAUAUAUAUUACUUGCUGAAAUCCUGAAAUCUUUCUCAGUUGUUAAACUUUCUGGCUGAAUUGUAGCAGAUCUGAGCAAGUUGUUAUAUCUCUCUUUUUAGUUCUGUGGCUGGAAAAUGGGAAGAACAGACCUACAUAUCCUCUUCAAGGUAUCUCAGGUGCUGGAAGGGGGAUGGAAACUCCCAGGCUAAAAAUAGAGGACAUGACCUGGGACAUGUUCAAGGUUACACAGAAGUUCCUGAUGACUGAUGCAGGCGUUUCAUCUGGCUCUGCAUGAGGCACCAGGCUAUGUAUUUUCUGAUAAGGCUAGAAAGAAAAUCAGAACAGGUACACUGUUCUUUGCACAGCUGCACAUUGUCUGUCCUUCCAAAGGAAGAGGUAGAGCUUCUGACAAAGCAAUUAUGUGAGGGUGAAAUGAAAAUCUGUGCUUGUAUUGGGUACACGCACAUGCACACGCAUGCACAGGGUUACUGUAUAAAAACUCCAAGGGCAACUCUGUCACAGUCAUUUCCCUGCAGCAGGCUUUGCAGCCAUUUAAACCUAAAUGUUCUUCUAAUAUUGGACUUUUGGUAUGGUGUUUUAUGGCUUCAUUUGUCAUGUAGCUUUUUCUUAGGUGCUGCCUUUAUUUUUGCUUUAAACUGGAGGAUAUGCUGAGAAAGGGUAAUAACUUGCCUGUAAUAGGGGGCAGAAAGAACAAUUUCUCUGCUUAUUUUUGCACAAAACAGAGGCAAAAUAUUCAGUGUAAGAGAGUUUUGAUGAUACCAUAUCUUUCAAGUCUUUCUCAUAUUUUCCAGUAAUGGUGCUAUUAUGUAUUUUUGAUUCUUUUUAUGAUUACAGCAUGUGACAUCCUAGUGCAGUGCAUGAAUUUAUCCUUUUGCAAUGAUAUGGAAGCUUUCAUUUCCACUUCAGUGCUUCCCUUAUCUACCAGCUGCCCAUCAUUCUCUGUCUCUUUGGUGCCUUCUCUUUUUCCUCACUCCUUACCCUCCUUCCCCCAAAAAAGAAGAAAUCAAUUUUCUGUUGAAAAAUAAUCUUGGUGUGAUAACUUUCUGACCCUGGGUGGAAAUACUUGUUAUAAAUGAGACCUGCUUGCCCCACAUCCAUGAAGGGGAGAUGAGCUAGACAGCACCUAAAAUGGAGAGUGUGUAAAAGUCCAAUAGAUGUGCAGCAGGGCUACUCCAUGCAGGACUGGGAAGACUGGAAAAAAAUCUGUCCCUUUGCUCACAUGGGUGCUGCAAUCACAGUGGCCAAAACAGUGGUGAUU
This is a long non-coding RNA of Passer domesticus (house sparrow), 6256 nucleotides long. RefSeq lists it as uncharacterized. The transcript is spliced from 5 exons. Lineage: Eukaryota; Metazoa; Chordata; Aves; Passeriformes; Passeridae. The record is from RefSeq and is a predicted model, not a curated record.